AGAGUUUGAUCCUGGCUCAGGACGAACGCUGGCGGCGUGCCUAAUACAUGCAAGUCGAACGGAGAUUGUAGCAAUACGGUCUUAGUGGCGAACGGGUGAGUAACGCGUUGGCAACCUGCCCCGAAGUGUGGGAUAACGGUCCGAAAGGGCCACUAAUACCACAUGUGAUCCCGAGGAACAGAUACUUGGGAUGAAAGGAGCGAUUCGCUUCGGGAGGGGCCUGCGUCCCAUCAGCUAGUUGGUAAGGUAACGGCUUACCAAGGCGAUGACGGGUAGGGGACCUGAGAGGGUGGCCCCCCACAAUGGAACUGAAACACGGUCCAUACACCUACGGGUGGCAGCAGUAGGGAAUAUUGGUUAAUGUGCGAAAGCGCGAACCAGCAACGCCGCGUGUGCGAUGAAGGCCUUCGGGUCGUAAAGCACUUUUUGCAGGGAAGAGGAAGGACGGUACCUGCAGAAUAAGUCUCGGCUAACUACGUGCCAGCAGCCGCGGUAAAACGUAGGAGACGAGCGUUAUCCGGAUUUACUGGGCGUAAAGCGCGUGCAGGCGGCAUGGCAAGUUGGAUGUGAAAGCUCCCGGCUUAACUGGGAGAGGUCGUUCAAUACUGCCAGGCUUGAGAGUGGUAGAGGGAAGCGGAAUUCCGGGUGUAGUGGUGAAAUGCGUAGAUAUCCGGAGGAACACCAGUGGCGAAAGCGGCUUCCUGGCCCAUUUCUGACGCUCAGACGCGAAAGCUAGGGUAGCAAACGGGAUUAGAGACCCCGGUAGUCCUAGCCGUAAACGAUGUGAACUUGGCGUUGGCGGGUUUAAAUCCGUCAGUGCCGUAGCUAACGCGAUAAGUUCACCGCCUGGGGACUACGGCCGCAAGGUUAAAACUCAAAGGAAUUGACGG
RNAcentral lists this ribosomal RNA (890 nucleotides) under uncultured bacterium. RNAcentral describes it as "bacterial SSU rRNA". It matches the Rfam family "Bacterial small subunit ribosomal RNA", at positions 8 to 916 of the family's 1533-position model. The record is from RNAcentral.